CGAAGCGAGGCAGCGAUGUGAAGCAAAUCGCACCAAAGCCGGUCCCAGUUCGGAUAAGAGGCUGAAACUCGCCUCUUUGAAGUCGGAAUCGCUAGUAAUCGCAGAUCAGCAUGUUGCGGUGAAUACGUUUCCUGGUCUUGUACACACCGCCCGUCAAACCAUGAGAGUCGCCAACACCCGAAGUCCGCUUUGCGGCCUAAGGUGGGGGAGAUGAUUGGGGUUAAGUCGUAACAAGGUAUC
This 240-nucleotide ribosomal RNA is filed under the name uncultured bacterium. Its description in RNAcentral is "partial 16S ribosomal RNA". It matches the Rfam family "Bacterial small subunit ribosomal RNA", at positions 1245 to 1500 of the family's 1533-position model. The record is from RNAcentral.